AAUCAUCUGUAGUCUUAUACAUCUGAAAUAUCAGAACAUGAUCCCAGCCACACCUGACAAGUUACAACACCUGAAGCUGAUGUGAAUGGUAAAAUAAGCAAGUACAUUGAUACAACAGGCUACUUCAGACUAAUUAUAACUGAAGAAUCAAUUACAACUCCAGCUUUGCUGCAUUAGUGUAUUGCAAGAUUAAAAGGAUACUUCAGCCUAAUUCAGUAAUUUUAAUAAAUUAAUGAAUCCUGGUGCUCGCAUUAUUCCUGAAUUUAUUUCCGGAUUUCCGGUGAUGCGCUUUCAGUGAAAGGAGACGUUCCCGUCGACGACGAGGCGCCUACGGUGACUUCGUAAAUCUCAAGAUGAUAUGCCAGCUCAGUCUCUCGGAGGUGCUCAUAGGGGUAGGGUGUGCGUGUGUGCGUUCAUAGGGGUGAGUGUAUGCGCGUGCAUACGAGCGCUUAUGUCUGUACUGAUGCUCAAUUUAUUUCAGGAUUUUCGAUGAUGCACUUUCAGUGGGAGGAGACGUUUGCGUCGAUGACGAGGCGCCUACGUGACUUCGUAAAUCUCAAGAUGAUAUGCCAGUUCAGUCUCUCGGAGGUGGUCAUAGGGGUAGGGUGUGCGUGUGUGCGUUCAUAGGGGUGAGUGUAUGCAUGUGUAUACGAGCGCUUAUGUCUGUACUGAUGCUCAAAUAGUUUUAUAUUCCCCUCGUUCUUAAAUAUAAGCCUUUUUAAAGAUUCCAAUACAGACUACAUACAGAGCAAAAUGAGUGAAUAUAUACUCUAAAAUACGUCUAUAUAUAUAUUAGAAGCCAGUAUUAAGUUUGAAUGGGAGUAUUAUUAAAUAGGCGUCUAUAUACAUAUUAGCUACUUAUACGUCUAUAUACAUAUUAGUAACAAGUAUCAAGUUUGAAUACGUCUAUAUACAUAUUAGUUGCUUAUACGUCUAUAUACAUAUUAGCAACCAGUAUCAAGUUUGAAUACGUCUAUAUACAUAUUAGCUGCUUAUAGACAUAUUAGCAACUAGUAUCAAGUUUGAAUACGUCUAUAUACAUAUUAGCUGCUUAUAUUUAGAGAGUAUAUUAUUAAAUGAGCAUAGGAAUAAAGUACAAAUCAUCUGCAGUCCUAUACAUCUGAAAUAUCAGAACAUGAGUCCAGCCACACCUGACAAGUUACAACACUGAAGCUGAUGUGAAUGCUAAAAUAAGCAAGUACGUUGAUACAAUAGGCUACUUCAGACUAAUUAUAACUGAAGAAUCAAUUACAACUCCAGCUUUGCUGGAUUAGUAUACUGCAAGAUUAAAAGGCUACUUCAGCCUAAUUCAGUAAUUUUAAUAAAUUAAUGAAUCUUCAUGCCCCCAAAACUCCAUGAUAUGGGCGUGGCAACUAUUUGCACUGCAGCUGCCUCU
This 1396-nucleotide long non-coding RNA is filed under the name Triticum aestivum (bread wheat). RNAcentral's name for it is "long non-coding RNA (TAES_LNC009901)". The record is from RNAcentral. Lineage: Eukaryota; Viridiplantae; Streptophyta; Magnoliopsida; Poales; Poaceae.